RNAcentral lists this ribosomal RNA (497 nucleotides) under uncultured bacterium. RNAcentral's name for it is "partial 16S ribosomal RNA". It matches the Rfam family "Bacterial small subunit ribosomal RNA", at positions 28 to 507 of the family's 1533-position model. The record is from RNAcentral.
GAUGAACGCUGGCGGCGUGCCUAAUACAUGCAAGUCGAGCGAACAGACGAGGAGCUUGCUCCUUUGACGUUAGCGGCGGACGGGUGAGUAACACGUGGGUAACCUACCUAUAAGACUGGGAUAACUUCGGGAAACCGGAGCUAAUACCGGAUAAUAUUUCGAACCGCAUGGUUCGAUAGUGAAAGAUGGCUCUGCUAUCACUUAUAGAUGGACCUGCGCCGUAUUAGCUAGUUGGUAAGGUAACGGCUUACCAAGGCAACGAUACGUAGCCGACCUGAGAGGGUGAUCGGCCACACUGGAACUGAGACACGGUCCAGACUCCUACGGGAGGCAGCAGUAGGGAAUCUUCCGCAAUGGGCGAAAGCCUGACGGGGCAACGCCGCGUGAGUGAUGAAGGUCUUCGGAUCGUAAAACUCUGUUAUUAGGGAAGAACAAACGUGUAAGUAACUGUGCACGUCUUGACGGUACCUAAUCAGAAAGCCACGGCUAACUACGUG